Molecule: ribosomal RNA, 442 nt
Filed under: uncultured bacterium
Lineage: Bacteria
Description: partial 16S ribosomal RNA
Rfam family: Bacterial small subunit ribosomal RNA
Source: RNAcentral
CCUACGGGUGGCAGCAGUGGGGAAUAUUGGGCAAUGGGCGUAAGCCUGACCCAGCAACGUCGCGUGAAGGAAGAAGGCUCUCGGGUUUUUAAAUUUCUUUUAGAGGGGAGUGCAGAUGACGGUACCUCUUGAAUAAGCUAUGCCGAAUUACGUGCCAGCAGCCGCGGCAAUACGUAGGUCGCCAGUGUUGUCCGGAUUUACUGGGUUUAAAGGGCGUGUAGGCGGGAAGACAAGUCAGUGGUGAAAUUCCGCGGCUCAACCACGGAACUGCAGUUGAAACUGUUUUUCUUGAGUACGGGAGAGGUACGCGGAAUGCGUGGUGUAGCGGUGAAAUGCAUAGAUAUAAGGAAGAACACCGAUGGCGAAGGCAGAUGACUGAACGGCAACUGACGGUGAGGCGCGAAAGCGUGGGGAGCAAACAGGAUUAGAUACCCUGGUAGUC